GCUCAGACAUGAUGCGAGGUCCUCUGGCCAGGGCCAGUGCUUUGGGUGUAGGGCUCAGGAGCCCUGGGGUGUGUGCCGUCUCUUUCAGUAACUGGCUGCGUGACUCUGGGUUUAUAGAAACAUUGUGACCAGACCUACCUGGACAGCUGCAAGACCAAAGGAUUCCAGCACCAAGAAGUCUGCAAUAACCAGCCACACCCCCUCCCCUUUUAGUACAAAAGAAGCCUGAAUUCUAACUCCGAUUAAGAUGGUUUUUUAGGACAGUAGUCCACCAUCUUCUCCAUCUGCUGGCUUUCUGAAUAAAGUUGCUAUCCUUUGC
Long non-coding RNA from Balaenoptera acutorostrata (minke whale), 319 nucleotides. RefSeq lists it as uncharacterized. NCBI's taxonomy places the organism in Eukaryota, Metazoa, Chordata, Mammalia, Artiodactyla, Balaenopteridae. The record is from RefSeq and is a predicted model, not a curated record. The transcript is spliced from 2 exons.